GCAAGUCGAACGGAAACAGGACGCUAGGAUUCCUUCGGGAUGACUUUGUCGCUGUCGAGUGGCGGACGGGUGAGUAAUGCAUAGGAAUUUGCCUUGAAGUGGGGGAUAGCCCGGAGAAAUCCGGAUUAAUACCGCAUACCCUCUACGGAGGAAAGCGGGCCUCUUCUUGAAAGCUCGCGCUUUGAGAUAAGUCUACGUCGGAUUAGCUUGUUGGUAGGGUAAAGGCCUACCAAGGCGACGAUCCGUAGCUGGUCUGAGAGGACGAUC
This 267-nucleotide ribosomal RNA is filed under the name uncultured bacterium. Its description in RNAcentral is "partial 16S ribosomal RNA". It matches the Rfam family "Bacterial small subunit ribosomal RNA", at positions 57 to 305 of the family's 1533-position model. The record is from RNAcentral.